RNAcentral lists this ribosomal RNA (1407 nucleotides) under uncultured bacterium. RNAcentral describes it as "bacterial SSU rRNA". It matches the Rfam family "Bacterial small subunit ribosomal RNA". The record is from RNAcentral.
AGAGUUUGAUCCUGGCUCAGGACGAACGCUGGCGGCGUGCCUAAUACAUGCAAGUAGAACGCUGACUACUUUAGCUUGCUAGAGUAGAAGGAGUUGCGGACGGGUGAGUAACGCGUAGGUAACCUGCCUACUAGCGGGGGAUAACUAUUGGAAACGAUAGCUAAUACCGCAUAACAGUGUUUAACACAUGUUAGAUGCUUGAAAGAUGCAAAUGCAUCACUAGUAGAUGGACCUGCGUUGUAUUAGCUAGUUGGUGGGGUAACGGCCUACCAAGGCGACGAUACAUAGCCGACCUGAGAGGGUGAACGGCCACAUUGGGACUGAGACACGGCCCAGACUCCUACGGGAGGCAGCAGUGGGGAAUCUUCCGCAAUGGGCGAAAGCCUGACGGAGCAACGCCGCGUGAACGAUGAAGGUCUUAGGAUCGUAAAGUUCUGUUGUUAGGGACGAAGGGUAAGAAUCAUAAUAAGGUUUUUAUUUGACGGUACCUAACGAGGAAGCCACGGCUAACUACGUGCCAGCAGCCGCGGUAAUACGUAGGCGGCAAGCGUUGUCCGGAAUUAUUGGGCGUAAAGGGAGCGCAGGCGGGAAACUAAGCGGAUCUUAAAAGUGCGGGGCUCAACCCCGUGAUGGGGUCCGAACUGGUUUUCUUGAGUGCAGGAGAGGAAAGCGGAAUUCCCAGUGUAGCGGUGAAAUGCGUAGAUAUUGGGAAGAACACCAGUGGCGAAGGCGGCUUUCUGGACUGUAACUGACGCUGAGGCUCGAAAGCUAGGGUAGCGAACGGGAUUAGAUACCCCGGUAGUCCUAGCCGUAAACGAUGGAUACUAGGUGUGGGAGGUAUCGACCCCUUCCGUGCCGGAGUUAACGCAAUAAGUAUCCCGUCUGGGGAGUACGGCCGCAAGGUUGAAACUCAAAGGAAUUGACGGGGGCCCGCACAAGCGGAGGAACAUGUGGUUUAAUUCGAUGAUACGCGAGGAACCUUACCCGGGCUUGAAAGUUAACGACGGAUCGAGAAAUCGGUCUUCCCUACGGGGCGCGAAACUAGGUGCUGCAUGGUUGUCGUCAGCUCGUGCCGUGAGGUGUCGGGUUAAGUCCCAUAACGAGCGCAACCCUUACCGUUAGUUGCCAUCAGGUCAAGCUGGGCACUCUAGCGGGACUGCCGGUGUAAGCCGAGAGGAAGGUGGGGAUGACGUCAAAUCAGCACGGCCCUUACGUCCGGGGCGACACACGUGUUACAAUGGCCGGUACAGAGGGUAGCUACCUGGUGACAGGAUGCCAAUCUCGAAAGCCGGUCUCAGUUCGGAUCGGAGGCUGAAACUCGCCUCCAUGAAGUUGGAUUCGCUAGUAAUCGCGCAUCAGCCAUGGCGCGGUGAAUACGUUCCCGGGUCUUGUACUCACCGCCCGUCA